This 517-nucleotide ribosomal RNA is filed under the name uncultured bacterium. RNAcentral's name for it is "bacterial SSU rRNA". It matches the Rfam family "Bacterial small subunit ribosomal RNA", at positions 95 to 606 of the family's 1533-position model. The record is from RNAcentral.
GCGGCGGACGGGUGAGUAAUGCCUAGGAAUCUGCCUAGUAGUGGGGGAUAACUUGCCGAAAGGUAAGCUAAUACCGCAUACGUCCUACGGGAGAAAGCAGGGGACUCUUCGGAGCCUUGCGCUAUUAGAUGAGCCUAGGUCGGAUUAGUUAGUUGGUGAGGUAAUGGCUCACCAAGACUGCGAUCCGUAACUGGUCUGAGAGGAUGAUCAGUCACACUGGAACUGAGACACGGUCCAGACUCCUACGGGAGGCAGCAGUGGGGAAUAUUGGACAAUGGGGGCAACCCUGAUCCAGCCAUGCCGCGCGUGUGAAGAAGGUCUUAGGAUUGUAAAGCACUUUAAGUUGGGAGGAAGGGCAGUUAACUAAUACUUGACUGUUUUGACGUUACCGACAGAAUAAGCACCGGCUAACUUCGUGCCAGCAGCCGCGGUAAUACGAAGGGUGCAAGCGUUAAUCGGAAUUACUGGGCGUAAAGCGCGCGUAGGUGGUUCGUUAAGUUAGGAGUGAAAGCCCCGG